RNAcentral lists this ribosomal RNA (253 nucleotides) under uncultured bacterium. RNAcentral's name for it is "partial 16S ribosomal RNA". It matches the Rfam family "Bacterial small subunit ribosomal RNA", at positions 524 to 776 of the family's 1533-position model. The record is from RNAcentral.
UACGGAGGGUGCAAGCGUUAUCCGGAUUCACUGGGUUUAAAGGGUGCGUAGGUGGGCAAGUAAGUCAGUGGUGAAAUCUCCGGGCUUAACCCGGAAACUGCCAUUGAUACUAUUUGUCUUGAAUACUGUGGAGGUCAGCGGAAUAUGUCAUGUAGCGGUGAAAUGCUUAGAUAUGACAUAGAACACCAAUUGCGAAGGCAGCUGGCUACACAAAUAUUGACACUGAGGCGCGAAAGCGUGGGGAUCAAACAGG